GUGUAGCAAUACACUCGCUGGCGACCGGCAAACGGGUGCGGAACACGUACGCAAUCUACCCAUAACUGAGGAAUAGCCCUCCGAAAGGAGGAUUAAUACUUCGUAACCUUAUUGAGUGGCAUCACUUAAUGAGUAUAGCUCCGGCGGUUAUGGAUGAGCGUGCGGCUGAUUAGGUAGUUGGCGGGGUAACGGCCCACCAAGCCUGCGAUCAGUAACUGGUGUGAGAGCACGACCAGUCACACGGGCACUGAGACACGGGCCCGACUCCUACGGGAGGCAGCAGUAAGGAAUAUUGGUCAAUGGACGCAAGUCUGAACCAGCCAUGCCGCGUGAAGGAUGAAGGUCCUCUGGAUUGUAAACUUCUUUUAUAGGGGACGAAACCCGGGUAUUCUUACCCGAUUGACGGUACCCUAGGAAUAAGC
RNAcentral lists this ribosomal RNA (422 nucleotides) under uncultured bacterium. Its description in RNAcentral is "bacterial SSU rRNA". It matches the Rfam family "Bacterial small subunit ribosomal RNA", at positions 74 to 491 of the family's 1533-position model. The record is from RNAcentral.